GUGCAGCGUGGUGAUUGGAGAAAUCAAAUAGAGCUAUAGAUAUAUGGCAGAGCUUUUUGUGAAUCAGGGAAAGGAAUACGCAGAUGCAAGGCCAAGUUAUCCACCACAACUCUUUCAAUUCAUAGCUUCUAAAACUCCCUCUCACAACCUUGUUUGGGAUGUUGCUACUGGAAGUGGCCAAGCCGCCAAAUCUGUAAGUUCUCUCUCUUCCUUAUCUUUCUAUAUCUUAUACGAGUAUUUAUCUUAAAAAAUGACUCAUCCAUCCAUUAUUAGACAAAAUGCGACAUCAACACCAUCCAUAUGUAUAUACAAUUUCCAAUUUCAUCAUCAUGUAGUUGAGUUAGGUGUUUAGCUUGAUAUACUCUAAUGCGUUGUUUCAAUUUUUUCCAAUAAACCAGACACUUUUGGGCUUCUCCGGAUACACCUAAUGUAAUGCAUAGUGACAUUGAAUUUAAUCUUCAUGCUAGCUAGCUUCGUCAUAGUUAAAUGAAUGUUUCUUAUAAUUUGUCAAAUUUCACACACGCGCAUACACAUAAUACAAUUCUUUUCAAAAAAAUCACUUUUACUCAAAGAAAAACUAUUUCAUGAUUUCAGUUAGCUGCAUUGUACAAGAAUGUCAUUGCUACAGAUGUUAGUGAACAACAACUUGAAUUUGCAACCAAGCUCCCUAAUGUGCAAUACAAACACACCCCUUCAACAAUGUCCAUUCCCGAGCUUGAACAAAUUGUAACACCACAAGGAACCAUAGACCUUGUGACUAUUGCUCAAGGCCUUCAUUGGUUUGACCUCCCAAAUUUCUAUCAACAAGUCAAAUGGGUACUCAAGAAACCUCAUGGAGUCAUUGCUGCUUGGUGUUACUUUUUGCCAAGAAUUAGUGAUGAAGUAGACACUGUCUUUGAUCAAUUCUAUUAUACUGAUUCACAACCUUACUGGGAUUCCGCACGUAAAUUGGUUGAGAAAAACUAUAGAAGCAUUGAUUUUCCAUUUCAGGCAGUGGAUGGAGUUGAUCAUACAGGACCAUUUGAGUUUGUGACAGAAACAUUCAUGAGUUUUGAUGGUUUGUUAACAUAUAUAAAAUCAUGGUCAGCUUAUCAGACAGCAAAGAAGAAGGGUGUGGAGCUUCUUGGUGAGGACGUAGUUGAAAAAUUUAAGCUUGCUUGGGGUGAAGAUGGCCACAAAACUGCCAAGUUUCCAGUUUAUCUGAGAAUUGGAAGAGUUGGAAAUGUCUGAAUAUGUGGAAGUCCAGCUAGUUCUUACUUUGAAGGUGCAACAUCAAAAUAAAAGAAAGAUGCAGUGUUAUUGUGUCAGACUCAACCUCCAAAAUGAACAAGCAAGAAUUUCUUAUGUUGCAUUGCUCAGUUGCUCAUGUUUAUUCACUUGUUAGAAAUAAAAUCUCAUGAUUGUUUGCUGAUAUAAAUUGUAUUUUCGCAAACAAUUUAGUUCCUGUAUUAGAUUUUAAUCCUUAAAUUGUAUUUUCUUACUCAAACACAUGAACCAGAACUACCAUUAAAGCACCUGUAUCACUUCAAUCUUAUUAGACCAUAUGGAAUUUGCGUUGAAAGAAACUUGAUAGCACUUUCUUAUGAAUACAUGAUGAGUUGAUCACUUUAUAAAUAUUUUGUUUCAUAGAAGAAAAAACUUAGGAUAUAAAAAGCUCCGUGAGAUUUCAAUUCCAAUGUUGUUGGUUUUGAUUUGACACAGUUUUGUAACAUAGUAAAUACUCAAAUGAUGGGGGAGGUUAUAUGCAACAUAGAUUUCAAUCUCAAAAUUGUUGAUUUUGUUGGAUUAUAUGAAGAGAAAUACAGAAGCCAAAAGUGAUGUGGAAAGCGAGGAAUGAUAAGGUUUUUAAUAACCGAAAUCCGUAUGUGGGUGAAAUGGUGGAUGAUGUCAAGGUUUUGUCUUGGAGAUGGGCUUUGGAUAGAAUCUCUAUGCCACCGUGUAUGUAUUACGAAUGGUGUUGGAACCCAAGGGAGUGUAUUUUGCGCUUGGUUUGAGUUGCGUAAAUUCUGAUCUUCUGUUGGGGCAUGGGGUUUUUUUGGUUGGUGCAGACAUUCUGCUGGGUUUAGUCUGGUGUUCUGUUACUUUUGGGGCGGCUAUCAGGUCUUAACAGCACCUGCUGUUUUUUUCCUGUGCUGUUGAAGCUGCGCAGCUGCUAUGCUGUAACAGCAUUGCCUGCUGUUUCGGCCCGGUUGUGGUUUAGGGCGUUUAGGUAGCCUUUUGGAUUAUCUGUUUUUGUUUUUGGGUCAGUUAGGUGACUAGUUGUAACUAUGGUUUUGUAAUUCGGGACGGUUUUACCAGAUUACAGGCUCAUAACUUGCUAUUUUCAUAACCUUAGGAUCCUUGGAGGAGUUGUUGCUUUUGUGGUUGUAUAGGGUGUGGGUGUUCCGUCUAUAUGCGGCACCUAUUGUUUCUUUGUGCCGUCCAUACUUUGCGUCUUACGGGGAUGGCGUUAAUAAAUUUGCCAUUUAAAAAAACUAAAAAUGGCCAAAAGUGAUAAAUUUGAGAUGAUAUAAUAGGCUGGUUUAAAUAUGUCUCAAUGUUGAUGGCUGUGAGUUUCAUGUGUUUUUUAGGAAGAAGAUAUAUUUAAUCAAGAAUUUAGAUUAUAGGGACUAAAUUGUAUUUUUUUUUCAAUUAUUAAAAUGAACUAAAUUGAAGUAAGACAGAGGGAGUUAACAGAAAGAAAAGUUGACCUGUGACCAAAACUAUUCCCUCCGUGAUUUAUAAAUAUUGCAGUGCAACGUAGUGAUUGGAGAAAUCAAAGAGUUAUAGAGAUGGCAGAGCUUUUUGUGAAUCAGGGAAAGGAAUACGCAGAUGCAAGGCCAAGUUAUCCACCACAACUCUUUCAAUUCAUAGCUUCUAAAACUCCCUCUCACAACCUUGUUUGGGAUGUUGCUACUGGAAGUGGCCAAGCCGCCAAAUCUGUAAGUUCUCUCUCUUCUCCCUCUCCUUACCUCUUCCUAAAAUCUUACUGUAUCUUAUAUUCUCAAAACAAUUUUUUUUUUUUAUCUUAUCCUUGAAUAAUUAUGAGAAAUUUAAAAGACUAAUAUCUCAAAUUCGUCCUUGAAUUUUGAAAAAUCGGCUAAUUUCGUCCCUGAAUUUUGCGAAAUAUCAAAUUAGUCCCUGAAUUUACAAAAUGUCAAUCAAAUCAGUCCCUCCGUUAAAUUGGUCUGUUAACGGAGGUGACGUGUCACGUUAACCUCUGACAAAGCUUAUCACGUCAGAUGCCAUGUAAGCAGGGACCAAACUGAUUAAUUUACACAAAAUUUCGAAGGACGAAAUUGAUGGAUUUACACAAAAUUUUCAAGGACUAAAUUGAUGGAUUUUCAGAAAAUUGGCAACGGCUCUUUCCCUUCUUUGUGAGUAACGACUCUUUCUCCACUUCCUCAUUAAAAGGCUAUUUCUUCCCCAAAUAUAUAAAUUUGGAACCCUAAUGUUAUAAUUUCUUACAUAGAGUUCAAAAUCCCCAAAAUUUCUUCCAUGAAUUGAUGUAAAAUUUCUUCCCCAAUUCAAAAAACUUAGAACCCUAAUUUUUUUUUAUUAAAUUCGAAAUUCAUAAAUCAAGUGGUCUGCCUUGUAGAUUCAGUGUUUAGAAUUGAUGGGUGGUGCGCGAAUGGGUCCUUGAAUUAUAUUCAAUCCAUCAUUUCGAUCCUCAAAUUAGUGAAAAUAUCAUCAAAUUGGUCCUUGAAUUAUCAUAACAGAUAUCAAUGUGAUCCUUUGAGCAUAUAUUUGCUGAACAAAGUAAAAUGUAAAAGAUAAACACUUUGAUUAUAAAAAGACAAACAUUUGCAUUAUAUCAUAAGUCAAUAUUCGAUGUUAAUAAGUCAUUACAUGGCCAAAAAAACAACAGUACAUAGCCAAAAAGACAACAGUACAUAGCCAAAAAAGCAUUAAUUAAACUAGUCCAAAAGCAUAAUUAAAACAUGCAUCACUGUUUUAGAAAUCCUGGAGUUGGGAUAAACUCCAUGUAUUGGGGUUGAGUAGAAGCGGAUGACCCGUAAUUUGAAUUUGGAACUCUAACAACAUCCUCUUGUUGCACCUCAGUAGCAACAUUCUCAACAACAGUUUCCACACUUGCCACAUUACUUUGUACUUGUUCUUCAGACUCAGUGUCAAUCCAAUUCUUUGGUCUCCUAGCCACACCUUGCUUUGCACAACUUCUUGAUUAUAUGUCUCAUCCAAUUCUCAAUGUGGAAGAUGUGGAUUGACAUUCGCGCACCACCCAUCAAUUCUAAACAUUGAUUCUACAAGGAAGACCACUUGAUUUAUGAAUUUCGAAUUUAAUUAAAAAAGUUAGGGUUAUAAGUUUUUUGAAUUGGGGAAGAAAUUUUACAUCAAUUCAUGAAAGAAAUUUUGGGGAUUUUGAACUCUAUGUAAGGAAUUAUAACAUUAGGGUUCCAAAUUUAUAUAUUUGGGGAAGAAAUAGCCCUUAAUAAGGAAGUGGAGAAAGAGCCGUUACUCACAAAGAAGGGAAAAAGCCGUUGCCAAUUUUCUGAAAAUCCAUCAAUUUGGUCCUUGGAAAUUUUGUGUAAAUCCAUCAAUUUCGUCCUUCGAAAUUUUGUGUAAACCAAUCAGUUUGGUCCCUGCUUGCGUGGCAUCUGACGUGGUAAGCUUUGUCAGAGGUUAACGUGACACGUCACCUCCGUUAACAUACCAAUUUAACGGAGGGACUGAUUUGAUUGACAUUUUGUAAAUUCAGGGACUAAUUUGAUAUUUCGCAAAAUUCAGGGACGAAAUUGGCCGAUUUUUUAAAAUUCAAGGACGAAUUUGAGGUAUUAGUCAAAUUUAAAAUGACUCCUCCAUUACUACUAGAGUAACAAAAAUGUUUCUCGGACACAAAAUCCAACAACAUAUGUACACACACAACAGUUUCUGACUUUUAUAUUGUUUUUUCUCUCCUUUUCGACAUUACACACAUUCAAGUUAUAUUUUAUAGGUGUUGUCAGAUAUGUUAUCCGACUUUUGUAUGUCUAAAUAACAUGUCUCUUAUCGUUACUUCAUUAUUUUAGUUUUUAUUCAUAAUUUAUUUCUCCUCUCUAACAUAUGUGUAUUAAAUCAUUAAGAGAAUUGAGCUAGUUGUUUGGUUUUAUAAUCCCUAAUGCGGGACUUUAUUUUUUUUCAAUACACCCUCUCACGUCUCAUACUUUUAUGUUUGGUGCGUUGAUAUAAAUUGGUGAUUUUAGUAUUAUGUUAUGGUUUCGUAAAACUGACUUAUAAGAUAAGAAUUUUAUAAACUCUAUCAUACCUUCUCCCGGUUCUAAGUGAACCUUGAAUUUUGUCGGAUAUAGGUAAUGCACACUGACAUUGAAUUUGCAUCUGCAUGCUAGCUAGCUUCUUCUUAGUUAUAAAGAAUGUUUUUUAGAAUGCUUCUUCUUAUGGAAAUGAUGAAUUUAACUUUUUAAAAGUUAAAAUAUCGUUGAAUCUAAUGUAAACCUACUACUUUUGAUUUCCUUAACAACUGCCCUUAGGGCUCUCAUUAGUCUAACCCUUACUUUUACUCUAACACACUUAAUUCAUGAUUUCAGUUAGCUACAUUGUACAAAAAUGUCAUAGCCACAGAUGUGAGUGAACAACAACUUGAAUUUGCAACCAAACUCCCUAAUGUGCAAUACAAACACACCCCCUUCAACAAUGUCCAUUCCCGAGCUUGAACAAAUUGUAACACCACAAGGAACCAUAGACCUUGUGACUAUUGCUCAAGGUCUUCAUUGGUUUGACUUCCCAAAUUUCUAUCAACAAGUAAAAUGGGUACUCAAAAAACCUCAUGGAGUCAUUGCUGCUUGGUGUUACUCUUUGCCAAGAAUUAGUGAUGAAGUAGACACUGUCGUUGAUCAAUUCUAUUUUAUUGAUUCAAAACCUU
RNAcentral lists this long non-coding RNA (5857 nucleotides) under Medicago truncatula (barrel medic). RNAcentral's name for it is "long non-coding RNA (MTRU_LNC005473)". Lineage: Eukaryota; Viridiplantae; Streptophyta; Magnoliopsida; Fabales; Fabaceae. The record is from RNAcentral.